RNAcentral lists this long non-coding RNA (1249 nucleotides) under Pan troglodytes (chimpanzee). Its description in RNAcentral is "long non-coding RNA NONPTRT006211". The record is from RNAcentral. Lineage: Eukaryota; Metazoa; Chordata; Mammalia; Primates; Hominidae.
CUGGGGGAUGCAAAGUCGAGUGCGGCUCCUGUGCCGCGGGCACUGAGAGACGGGGUCUUGCUACGUUGUCGAGGUCUAGACUGCUGGCCUCAGGCGAUCUUCCAGCCUCCCAGGGCGCUGGGAUUACAGGCUUGAGCCACCGCGCCCGGCCCAGAGUCCCAUUUCUUAGACGGGCAAAUCGACCAUCACAGCCAAAGAAAAACUUCCGAGUUGCGAAGUCGGCUCAGUUGCCCCUGCGCCCUGGCGUCCCCCGAGGACGUCGCGCCUUCCCGGUGGACAGGACCUCGGCGGCCGCCCGCGGAGCCAAGGAUAACCCGACGGCCGACGGUGCCCGGUGCCCGCACGCGUGCGUCUGCGCCUUUGCGCGCGCGGCGGCCCCCGCACCUGUCCCGAAAAGCACACUCCCAGGCCACGUGCAUGCCCCGCGUCACGUACCGGCCCCUGCCUUCCCCGGCCGGAACCCGCGUGGCGGUGCCGAGCGCUGCGCCCGCCCCUACUCCCCCAGCAGUGCGCGAUAGCUGGACGCCCCUGCGGCUGCGCGCCCCCCUCCCCUGUCGGGGCUUUCUCCAGGGUCUGAGGCCCCGGAGAAGGCAGCAACGCAGACAGGCGGUGACCGCACAGAGGUAAAACCCACCAUCCCCACCUACAUGCCCACGGCAGGCACCAGCCGGCCUGGAGCGGCGGAGGGCGCCGGCCAGAGGCAGCGUCGCCCGCAGCCUGCGAUAGUGCGCUUGCACAGAGCAAGGCGGCUUUGGAAGAAAAUCUGACCCCCUCACCGCGGCCUGCAAACCCCUGCAGGAUCUGGCCCUGGCGCCUCUCACACAAUCCCCUACUUGGCUUGUACCUUGCGCACUCCCCCUCUUCCCCCACUCGCCUGGACGCUCACACACUGGCCUGCCUUAUUUCCCUGGGACACUAGGCUCUUUCCUGCCCCAGUCUGCUAUCUCUGGAAGCUCUUCCUCCUCCUCUAUCCUCAGAUAGCUCCUGUUCAGGCUACUAGGACAAGCCUAAAGUAGCACCCUUCACACUGUCUCGUAUUGCCUGGUUAUAUUAUUUCAUAACAUCAAUCACUAUCUAAAAUGCUAAAUUAGGCCUGGCGCGGUGGCUAAAAAACAGGUUUCCAAUUGUAGGGAAGAAUAUAAAGUGAAAAGCAAACAAAAAUCAUUCUACCUACCUCAUUCUACAUCCUCCCAAUCCUAUUCCCAGGAAAUAACUUGUGACCUUUGAAAACGGAGUUAUGUGUACGUCG